AAACCAGCACCUCAAGUGGUCAGGAUGAUUAUUGGGCCUAAAGCAUCCGUAGCCGGCUCUGUAAGUUUUCGGUUAAAUCUGUACGCUUAACGUACAGGCUGCCGGAAAUACUGCAGAGCUAGGGAGUGGGAGAGAUAGACGGUACUCGGGAGGAAGUGGUAAAAUGCUUUGAUCUCUCGAUGACCACCUGUGGCGAAGGCGGUCUAUCAGAACACGUCCGACGGUGAGGGAUGAAAGCUGGGGGAGCAAACCGGAUUAGAAACCCCGGUAGUCC
Molecule: ribosomal RNA, 274 nt
Filed under: uncultured bacterium
Lineage: Bacteria
Description: partial 16S ribosomal RNA
Rfam family: Archaeal small subunit ribosomal RNA
Source: RNAcentral